GACGAACGCUGGCGGCGUGCCUAAUACAUGCAAGUAGAACGCACAGUUUAUACCGUAGCUUGCUACACCAUAGACUGUGAGUUGCGAACGGGUGAGUAACGCGUAGGUAACCUGCCUGGUAGCGGGGGAUAACUAUUGGAAACGAUAGCUAAUACCGCAUAAUAUUAAUUAUUGCAUGAUAAUUAAUUGAAAGGUGCAAUUGCACCACUACCAGAUGGACCUGCGUUGUAUUAGCUAGUAGGUGAGGUAACGGCUCACCUAGGCGACGAAACAUAGCCGACCUGAGAGGGUGAUCGGCCACACUGGGACUGAGACACGGCCCAGACUCCUACGGGAGGCAGCAGUAGGGAAUCUUCGGCAAUGGACGAAAGUCUGACCGAGCAACGCCGCGUGAGUGAAGAAGGUUUUCGGAUCGUAAAGCUCUGUUGUAAGAGAAGAACGGGUGUGAGAGUGGAAAGUUCACACUGUGACGGUAUCUUACCAGAAAGGGACGGCUAACUACGUG
This 505-nucleotide ribosomal RNA is filed under the name uncultured bacterium. RNAcentral describes it as "partial 16S ribosomal RNA". It matches the Rfam family "Bacterial small subunit ribosomal RNA", at positions 28 to 507 of the family's 1533-position model. The record is from RNAcentral.